AUGUCGCUGGAACGGAUGCGGUCAAUGGUGGAUAUGAUGGCACUAUUGCGUAGGCGGCCGACUUUGCCUGCGCAACAAGUCUACUGGGUGUCAGACAAUAGUCACAUUGGAGGUGACACAGUGGACUUUGGGUGGGCGGAGUGGGUUGGUGGUGACAUGCCAGUCCCGAAGCUAUCAAGCUUCCACACUAGAUGCAAGGAUGUACAUGGCGAGGAAUCAAUCAUUGUGUCAGUCUUAUUGCCAGGGUCGGUGAUGGAUAAGUUUACCAGUGAGAUCGCCUCCUGGUUGAACAAGGACAACGGAGGCAACUACUUUACACCUAGCUCCCUCUAG
RNAcentral lists this ribosomal RNA (333 nucleotides) under Triticum aestivum (bread wheat). RNAcentral describes it as "partial small subunit ribosomal RNA". Lineage: Eukaryota; Viridiplantae; Streptophyta; Magnoliopsida; Poales; Poaceae. The record is from RNAcentral.